UAGGAUCCAUCUUAUCACUCACCUACAGCAAUGUAGACAAAUCACAUAAGAACACCAAAAGCACCAAAUACAAUUGCCAAUCACAUACAUAUCAAAUUAAAAGUUAUUAGUGUUGCAAAAAACCAUUCGAAUUCAGUUGAUUGCCAAGUUACAAUUUCCAAGAGAAUUCUGUAAGACGGGAGAAAAAAAAAAGUGAUCAUGAGAAAAACAACUUGGCCCAACACUAAAAAUAUGCAAUCAAUCAAUUUAUGGUAGCUGAUCUUGGCAAACUUUUUAAGAUCAACCCUUCAGUUGAUUACUAGGUUCAAAUUCAGGUAUAUGAAGUACAUAAGAAACAAAGUUUGACCAAGACACCCACAAACAAAAACCAGCUUCUCACAUUUUGAAUAGAAGGAUUUAUUCAUAUGUUCAUCCUAAUUUAGCAAAAAACAAACAUGAAUUAGAUAAAUUAGAGAAGAG
RNAcentral lists this unclassified non-coding RNA (459 nucleotides) under Hevea brasiliensis (rubber tree). Lineage: Eukaryota; Viridiplantae; Streptophyta; Magnoliopsida; Malpighiales; Euphorbiaceae. The record is from RNAcentral.